This 941-nucleotide ribosomal RNA is filed under the name Phaeocystis sp. JD-2012. RNAcentral describes it as "eukaryotic LSU rRNA". It matches the Rfam family "Eukaryotic large subunit ribosomal RNA", at positions 128 to 1107 of the family's 3401-position model. Lineage: Eukaryota; Haptophyta; Phaeocystales; Phaeocystaceae. The record is from RNAcentral.
CCGUCGCCUCCUGAAUUGUAGUCUGGAGAGGUGCCAUCGGCCCCACUCGGUGCCAAAAUCCCUUGGAAUGGGGUAUCAGAGAAGGUGAGAAUCCUGUCACGCGCCAGAGUGGGGUCGUACGAUGUGCUCUCGUAGAGUCGGGCUGCUUGGGAGUGCAGCCUGAAGCGGGUGGUAAAUUCCAUCUAAAGCUAAAUAUUGGCGGGAGACCGAUAGCGAACAAGUACCGUGAGGGAAAGAUGCAAAGAACUUUGAAAAGAGAGUUAAAGAGUGCUUGAAAUUGGCAGGAGGAAACCCGGUUGCGCGUGGCAUUUGACGCCGUCGACUCAGCCGUGCGGGGAGGCCUGUAGGGGACCGAAAGGCCCUGUGGUCAGUCCGUGCGGUGCACUUCGGCGGCGUCGGUCAGCCGCGUUUCUGCGCGGCGAAGACGGUUGCGGGUAGGGCUUCGGCGUCACCCGUGAUGAUGCGUCGCGCGGGAUCUCGGCUGAUGCGCACGGGCGCAACCGACCCGUCUAGAAACACGGACCAAGGAGUCUGACGCGUGUGCGAGUACUAGAGUGGCAAGCUCGAGUGCGCAAUGAAAGUGAAGGGCGUGCCCCGUCAACCGAUCUUGAUCUUCUGUGAAGGGUUUGAGUCGAGCACAUCUGUCGGGACCCGAAAGAUGGUGAACUAUGCCUGAGGAGGGUGAAGCCAGAGGAAACUCUGGUGGAGGCUCGUAGCGAUACUGACGUGCAAAUCGUUCGUCGAACUUGGGUAUAGGGGCGAAAGACUAAUCGAACCAUCUAGUAGCUGGUUCCCUCCGAAGUUUCCCUCAGGAUAGCUUGAACGCCGACGGUUUUGUCAGGUAAAGCGAAUGAUUAGAGGCCUUGGGGCUGAAACAGCCUUAACCUAUUCUCAAACUUUAAAUGGGCAAGAGGCGCCGGAUGCUUAACUGAUCCGGCGCG